GUGGCCCAGCAGCAGUGUGGAGGGAAACUCCCCACCCCACCCCCCAUGCACAUUCAGACACCACACCGCCAUCCCUGAAACACACACACUGUGUACUCUGGGACAGGUUCUUCACUAGCUCAGACCAUCUAGAGGGAAGAGCCCAAGCCUCUAUUCCAGGACCCAGACCCAGUGGCAUUUCCUCAGGAAGAGCAUAUGGCCAGGGCGCUCCUGGGUCCCUGCCUAACUGGCUGAGAGUCUGAGCAGCCCUGGGUCACACCCUCUCUUCCAUCUGGGCGCCUUCAUUCCUCACUGAAGGCUGACCAGUGCUUCCAAUGGUCACUGAGCCUUUUCAGUUAGGCUGCAGGAGCCUGCAGGGCUGUAUGGGCCUGACAUUCUACUGCCACCAAGUACACCACCCGAGAUGCACGUGGGCACAGGCAUGUGCACAGCCCUCAUUUCAGCAGGAUCUCAUUAUGUUUGUUGUCUUGAAUUUGUGACCAUCCUGCCUCAGCCUCCCAAGUACACAGGAUCAUAAACCUUUAUUCCAACCAACUGGCUUGGAAUAAAGCACUGGAUACUCAUGCUCAUUCUGACAAGACCUUGAGCGCUCGGCCAGCACUGACACACCCACGGUCACCUCAGACAGUGGGUCCUCAGCGGCCCGCAUCAGCACAAUCUGAAUGACGCGGCCUUCGUAGAUGUGGGCAUCGAAUGUUGACUUCCACUCGGGAUACAUGGUGGGCUUCUUCUGGACCAGAGUCUUCCCUCGCUCUGCAAUAGGAAGUCAGGCUAGGACUCCUAAGUCCUUCCUCCCUCCUUACCCCUCACUGCCACACGACCUACCCUCCGUCCAGUCCCGAGGCCCUGCUACGGCUCUCCAGCAUCCCGCGGAGCACCCGGCAGCCUCCCGUGUCUUAGGGUGCUCUGUGAACACAUGUGAGAGCGGCCACAUGCCAGCCUUGGACUGGUUGGCAAGGAACAUGGCCUGGCCCUGUCUCAAGUGCCAGACAGAGACACGAACCACUGUAUUCCUCAGCACAGAAAGGCUGGCUUUCGUCCUCUGUCUGCAGGGAGCCCAGCUCAUAGGAAUUGAAGGAGAUGCGCAGGAACGGCGCCAUGGUGAAGCCUGCGGAGGAUUGUGCACAUGAAGGGAUGAAGCGAGGCAGGGGCGCAGAGGCAGUGGAGACCGCUGCCGGCCCCACUCGUCACGGAGCUCACACCACGGGAACUGCCCCACGUGGUACACCAAACGCACUAGUCUCUGGUGCCAAUGGGGAAAGCUGGGCAGCCUGACAUAAGUCUGGACUUGAGACACCGCUGGUAAAACUAAAAGAUGGAAACCAGACUUGCUGAGCGACAGCCACUGUGCUGGCUGCUCUUUUGUCUACCAGGUCAGGGUACUGUCCCCAUUCCUGAACUGGACCCUGGAGGCAUAUGAAUUGUGAUCCUGAGGCAAUAAUUUGGGGAAGUCACUCAGUGCCCCUCUCAUGGCCAAUUACUGACCGCCUAAGCAUGCCAGAGACCUAGUAUGUGCAACUGCCCUCUUCUCUACUGGCUUGUGAAGCCCCUCUGGAUUCUCGGUCGCUCAUAACCACCUAUGCAGAGAAGCAUGGCGAACUGAGUCCUGUUUUAUCAGCCAAAGAACCCACUCUUUAGAUGGGCAAACUGAGACUCAGGCUGAGCCAGAUGGAAGGCUAGAGCUCUGCUAACUCUGCCCUGACUUUGUUCAACACACCCCACCCUCCUGAACACAAGCCCCUCAGGGUCACAUGUCUCCUACCUAUUUAGAUUUCCUGUCCUUUCAAACUGAGAAUGGAGGCAGGGACCAAGAUCCUUUCCAGGCAGAUAAGGAGGUGUGAAAGAAACACAGUGGAGGGAUAUGAAAAGGGGGUGCAGUUUCACAUUUUUCUCCAAAUAUAAAACUGUAUUUUAA
Non-coding RNA from Peromyscus maniculatus bairdii (prairie deer mouse), 1915 nucleotides. NCBI's taxonomy places the organism in Eukaryota, Metazoa, Chordata, Mammalia, Rodentia, Cricetidae. The record is from RefSeq and is a predicted model, not a curated record.